Long non-coding RNA from Limulus polyphemus (Atlantic horseshoe crab), 1115 nucleotides. RefSeq lists it as uncharacterized. The transcript is spliced from 4 exons. The record is from RefSeq and is a predicted model, not a curated record. NCBI's taxonomy places the organism in Eukaryota, Metazoa, Arthropoda, Merostomata, Xiphosura, Limulidae.
UCUUUCCUGUCUCAUAAAAAGGAGGUCGAGUCUCGUCAAAAACUGAUUUCCUCCUUAAUCGAUUUGGCCUUGUGCAACGCGUGACUUUAAUGUCAGCUCGUGCCGCGUGUCACCGCACUGUAUUCUCGUCGGUUUUCGAAACUGUUAACGUUUUUACAAACGCUUAGCUGCGAUUUCCAGUCUACCUGCACUAAUUUUGCAGCAAAAAGUUGUCGCCAUUUGAUGGCGUAAAAUUGUCUGCUUCUUCCGUUUAUAUCCACUACUGGCCAGUAGCCUGGGGUGAAAUCGUGCUUACCAGUCUACCUUUCUUCGACUAUCCUCUUCUGUCUCACAGGCUCUUCUAAUUUCGAAGAUGGCGUUUAGUUAUGUUCUAAGAAUGAUAUCAAAAUUUGGUGACGUUCUUGACGCUUGAGCUCCAAAUAACACAUCAUUUCAUUGUGGAGUUAUUGAAUACUGCAUGUCGUAUUCUAUACGAAUUCCGUAUGAAUGUAGUAGUGAAGAGUAUCUAUAGCGAACUAUAAUAGUUCAAGUAUAAAAGUCAACGUAUGAAAAAAUGAAUCUUCUCAAUGGUACGUAAAAAAAUGGUUGGCAUGGGUAGAUAGAUUAAUCAUUAUUAACGCUGAGUUGAAAGGUGUUAGACCUGGAGUUUUGGAAGAGUGAAAACAAUAGAAGUAUUUAGCGCAAAGCCAUACAAUAGGCUGUCUGCACUCUCUACACCGUGGGAUUCGAGCCCUGGAUUAUAUUGUUGACUUAGAAGGGGGACUAACCGUUACAAUGUGCGUGUAAAGAUUCCGGUAAACAGAAAUUGGGGAUCCUUACAGGACGACAUAUUUUCAAUCUUCAGCUACUUUGGCUUCUUGGUCAUCAAAAUAAGAUGGACUACAACUCUCGAUCCUUGUGGCUUCAAGAAUUCUAUUGGUAUCGUCAACAAUGACGUUAUUCUACGCAUAUUAUUAUUAUUGUUAAUAUUCGAAGUUUAUUGUAAUCUUCAAUUGCACUUUCUGUAGAACAAACGCUGAUAUUAAGUUGGAAAGCACUUUAUGCCAUUGUCAACCUCCGUAACAUUAUGGAAAGAAACCCAAUGCAAUAAAGACGUUGAUACUAUGUCACACAAA